UUUCUGCGGGGGGGGCCCCCUUGGGGGCCAAGGGGGGGGGGGGGCCCGGGGCUCCCGCACGUAGAGGGCGGCGGCGCGGGACGACGCGGGCCGGCGGUCGGCGGACAAUGCGGCCGGAGGAGACCCGCGCGGCGCGAGUGGGGCCGGGCUGCGCGCGCGUGGCCGAGAAGAAACAGCAUUGAUUAGAAGAUUCCCUAUGGAACCGGGCGUGGUGGUUUACACCUGUAAUCCCAGCACUGGAGAGGUUGAGGAAGGAGGAUGCCAGCUUGGGCUACAAAGUGAGCACAAAGCCAGCCUGAACUGCAUUGUAAGAUUCUG
RNAcentral lists this long non-coding RNA (318 nucleotides) under Cavia porcellus (domestic guinea pig). RNAcentral describes it as "lncRNA (ENSCPOG00000033183.1)". The record is from RNAcentral. Lineage: Eukaryota; Metazoa; Chordata; Mammalia; Rodentia; Caviidae.